RNAcentral lists this ribosomal RNA (516 nucleotides) under uncultured bacterium. RNAcentral describes it as "bacterial SSU rRNA". It matches the Rfam family "Bacterial small subunit ribosomal RNA", at positions 8 to 518 of the family's 1533-position model. The record is from RNAcentral.
AGGGUUCGAUUCUGGCUCAGGAUGAACGCUAGCGGCAGGCCUAAUACAUGCAAGUCGUACGGUAAAGUCCCCUUCGGGGGAUUGAGAGUGGCGGACGGGUGCGUAACGCGUAUGCAACCACCCCCGACGGGCGGAUAGCCGGUGGAAACGCCGGAUAACCCGCCAUGCGGCCCCACAGGGGCAUCCCCUGUGGAGUCAAAGCGGCGACGCGGUCGGGGACGGGCAUGCGUCCCAUUAGAUGGUUGGCGGUGCAAUGGACCACCAAGUCUACGAUGGGUAGGGGAUCUGAGAGGACGGUCCCCCACACUGGUACUGAGACACGGACCAGACUCCUGCGGGAGGCAGCAGUAAGGGAUAUUGGGCAAUGGGGGCAACCCUGACCCAGCCAUGCCCGCGUGAGGGAAUGAGGCCCUACGGGUCGUGAACCUCUUUUGUCCGGGGACAAGGCAUCCCACGCGAUGGGAUGUUGAGGGUACCGGGAGAAUAGGCGUCGGCUAACUCCGUGCCAGCCGCGGC